UUUUAUAACGACCGCGUUUAAAGUAAAAAAUAAAUAUUAUUCGUAAAUUAACUGGAAUUAUUUUCAAUCCUAUAAAAGAUAAUCAAUGGGAUAAAUGUUCGUUUUUAAAAAAUCGAUAAUAAACGUAAUUUGAAUUACGUUGUGACCGCGGAACAUAUGAAAGAUGUAACAUAUGGUUUUGGUUAGUUAUACUUUCUCUGAACCAAUGGUUUUAACUGUUCUGCGAAUAUUCUCAUAUCCUCUGCUAUUGCAUCUUGACCACUAGGUGCAAGAACACUUAAUUCUACCAGAUAACUUUGGGAUAUAGCUUCUACACUUUCAGGACCGCUAUCAACAUUAUCACAUAAGCCUCUUAAUCUAUGAAGCAACACUUCCACAGCACUGUCUAAUACCGAGCCUUGGAGUAAAUAUUCUUGAUUUGGUAUUAUAUUUGAAUUUAAUGCAGCAC
Long non-coding RNA from Vespa mandarinia (Asian giant hornet), 448 nucleotides. RefSeq lists it as uncharacterized. NCBI's taxonomy places the organism in Eukaryota, Metazoa, Arthropoda, Insecta, Hymenoptera, Vespidae. The record is from RefSeq and is a predicted model, not a curated record.